ACCAAUUUUUGGGGGUUUGAUUUGUGGUUCCCCCAGAUGUAAUGGCUUGGGCGCCAUACUAGCUUUUGUGGCUAUUCUGAACCAUGGCCUUUUGCUGUUGCCGUUGUUCUGGGAAACUCCACACACACUA
Molecule: non-coding RNA, 130 nt
Organism: Amborella trichopoda
Lineage: Eukaryota; Viridiplantae; Streptophyta; Magnoliopsida; Amborellales; Amborellaceae
Source: Rfam